This 497-nucleotide ribosomal RNA is filed under the name uncultured bacterium. RNAcentral describes it as "partial 16S ribosomal RNA". It matches the Rfam family "Bacterial small subunit ribosomal RNA", at positions 28 to 507 of the family's 1533-position model. The record is from RNAcentral.
GACGAACGCUGGCGGCGUGCCUAAUACAUGCAAGUUGAGCGCUGAAGGUUGGUACUUGUACCGACUGGAUGAGCAGCGAACGGGUGAGUAACGCGUGGGGAAUCUGCCUUUGAGCGGGGGACAACAUUUGGAAACGAAUGCUAAUACCGCAUAAAAACUUUAAACACAAGUUUUAAGUUUGAAAGAUGCAAUUGCAUCACUCAAAGAUGAUCCCGCGUUGUAUUAGCUAGUUGGUGAGGUAAAGGCUCACCAAGGCGAUGAUACAUAGCCGACCUGAGAGGGUGAUCGGCCACAUUGGGACUGAGACACGGCCCAAACUCCUACGGGAGGCAGCAGUAGGGAAUCUUCGGCAAUGGAUGAAAGUCUGACCGAGCAACGCCGCGUGAGUGAAGAAGGGUUUCGGAUCGUAAAACUCUGUUGGUAGAGAAGAACGUUGGUGAGAGUGGAAAGCUCAUCAAGUGACGGUAACUACACAGAAAGGGACGGCUAACUACGUG